GGCAAGACCAAUGCGGACAAGCUACAAAGGGAUGAAGGAGGAUACCUAAGCACACAGAGGCAAAA
This 65-nucleotide ribosomal RNA is filed under the name Koinonema pervagatum 37PC. RNAcentral's name for it is "partial 23S ribosomal RNA". The record is from RNAcentral. Lineage: Bacteria; Bacillati; Cyanobacteriota; Cyanophyceae; Oscillatoriales; Oscillatoriaceae.